UAAUGGCCGCCUGAGGGGAGAGGGUCCGUCUGGGCCUCAUAGAUAGCGAAACUGUGUGUGCCUGUGUUUGUUUUCGUUUGGCUAUUUGUGUGUGCGGAGAGUUCGCCAGUGAAUUGGAGGGUUGGCUAGAGGCGAGAGCUCUUUCCACAUUAGGAGCGCAGGGGCAAUGGUGGACCAGAUGAAGGGACCAGGGAAUUUGGAGAGUGUUAAGAUUGUGAAACCAGAACAGAUGAUUGUUGUAACACUGUCCCAUUUCAUGCUUGCAGUAAACACCCAAGAAAAGGCAUUACUGGUGUUUGUCCUUAUUCGAGGUUGAUCCUUUGGUGCAUCCAGUGUUCCGCUACAGUGAGAGAGAAGAAGGGAGCAAGACAGAGCAUGUGAGAGUGAGAUAUGUCAUACCUGAUCCAGGGCUUGGAGUGGUAAAGAUAUUUGUGCAUGCAGAGGCUGGUGGUACUUUAAGAUGAAGAGAUUGUUCUCUGCUUUCUCCAGAUGAGCUGCUCCUCAUCUCUCUCUCAGUCUCUCUCUAUGUACGAGGAAAAACAUGGAGAUGAAAGGCAGCUGAAGUGUUUGAAAAAUGGACUUUGAAAUAGAAAAGGUCCUGAUUGGCCUGUGUAAGAGAUGAGAGAGUGGAUGAGAAAAGAAUAAGAUGCAAAAUGAGAAACAGAUGAGUAAUGCAGGAGAUGACUGGCCAACACCAGCCGUCCAUUAGAA
Sinocyclocheilus anshuiensis is the source of this 711-nucleotide long non-coding RNA. RefSeq lists it as uncharacterized. Lineage: Eukaryota; Metazoa; Chordata; Actinopteri; Cypriniformes; Cyprinidae. The record is from RefSeq and is a predicted model, not a curated record. The transcript is spliced from 4 exons.